GAAAGAACGUUAAAGAAGACAUUCGCUAAAAGGAAACUGUUUACUAGUUUUUGCUCUUCUAUCUUUCUGUUCAAGCUGUCUCUCUUUUCUGUUUGUUUUAUUUUACGUUGCCUGUCUGCACGAAGCUAACAUUUUUAGUGCACGUGCUCCUGAAACUAAAGUCCCGAAGUUUUUCUUCCCUGCGGUUGGAUAAAAAGAAAUCAUGCCAACGUGCGCAUAUCCCGAUGGGCAUGCGCAGCGGUACGAGGAUCUCAUGUUAAUGCAGAAGUGGGAACAUCCUCCAUUGUCCUUAGUACACACGUUUCUAUCUGCUGAGGUAAAAAAGAAAUUGACAGAACAUUAGAACAAGCGAUAAUUAUCAGUAGCUAGGUACGUGCGGGCACGUACGUCAAGCCCACAAGUAGAUUGGGAAAUUGUCCGACACAGCCGCACACAGAUGACGACGUCGCCGAUUACGCCGUGGGAAACCCUAAGCGAUAACUAACUUUUAUGGCAAAGUUGUAAUAAAUUUGUAGAAAAGAAAAAGUUUUCGAGAUUGAUAUCUUACUUGCCUUGUGCUGUUUUAAAGGCAUCUAAAUUAGUAGGUUACUUCAGCAUGAGCCGUAGCGCUCUUUUCUUUUUCUAUUUAUGGCGGUCGAGACUAUUUUCAUGUAAAUUUAAUCCGUCAGUCUAACGUAAAUUUCUUUUUAGAAAUUUUAAUCAUUUUUUGUUUGUCUCGGGCAAGAGUCGUUCCUCACAAUAUUUUUGGGAAAGAUUCGAUAUUGGUUGGACCUUUUACGAAAAACUUAGUCGCAACAUAAAAGAUAUCAAUGGGAUAAAGGGAAAAGGUUAAGAACAAUUGUUUUCAAAUAAAAUCAAAUAAGUUGCUGCUGAGUGAAAGCGUUUGUAACGAUGAUCCGAAUUUCAAUUUUUUUUUCUUGGGGAAAAAGGGAUUCCAGACAGUUCUGAGCUACCGUAAUCGCGCUUAGGAUUAGGAAUGGUUCUUGCGCAUGUUAAAGCUAAGGUCGGAGCUAUGUUUAGUCUGCAGAGCUUUAUUGUAGAUGCUGCGAGAAAACUCUUAACAAAGACAUUGUAAAGUUCAGUGAAACUCACCAAUAUUUAAUGUUAUUACAUUAAACCUUAAUAACACGCUUUCGUCGAAUUAUGUAUUUCAGCUACUAGAUAUCAGACUGUAUGAUAUGUUGUGUCUUGGAUUGUUAACAACAAUUUGCAGUAAAUGAUUGUCUCCCUUUUUUUCCUAUUGCGGGUUUUCUUGUUGGCUUGUGUGUAGGCUUGCAGCAAAAGCCUGGAGACCAGAUACAAGAGCUUGUGCUCUCUUGUUAAAUGGAUGAAAAUUUUCGUCUUCGUUGUUGCAAUAUAUGUUAAAAUAUAAAUAACAAAAUAGUUGAACUAUCCUAAGAAGAUUACUUAACAUAACUGUGUGAUGCUUUGUUUGCAUAAGCAAUAAACGAUAAUACUGUC
This is a long non-coding RNA of Stylophora pistillata, 1461 nucleotides long. NCBI's taxonomy places the organism in Eukaryota, Metazoa, Cnidaria, Anthozoa, Scleractinia, Pocilloporidae. The record is from RefSeq and is a predicted model, not a curated record.